This 407-nucleotide ribosomal RNA is filed under the name uncultured bacterium. RNAcentral describes it as "partial 16S ribosomal RNA". It matches the Rfam family "Bacterial small subunit ribosomal RNA", at positions 30 to 526 of the family's 1533-position model. The record is from RNAcentral.
AUUGAACGCUGGCGGCAGGCCUAACACAUGCAAGUCGAGCGGAGCGGCGGAAGGGUGAGUAAUGCCUAGGAAUCUGCCUGGUAGUGAGGGAUAACGUACGGAAACGGGCGCUAAUGCAGCAUACUAUCAGAUGAGCCUAGGUCGGAUUUGCUAGUUGGUGGGGUAAAGGCCUACCAAGGCGACGAUCCAUAACUGGUCUGAGAGGAUGAUCAGGCACACGGGGACUGAGACACGGUCCAGACUCCUACGGGAGGCAGCAGUGGGGAAUAUUGGACAAUGGACGAAAGCCUGAUCCAGCCAUGCCGCGUGUGUGAAGAAGGUCUUCGGAUUGUAAAGCACUUUAAGUAGGGAGGCGUUACCAACAGAAUAAGCACCGGCUAACUGCGUGCCAGCAGCCGCGGUAAUAC